UCCCUGAUGUUAGCGGCGGACGGGUGAGUAACACGUGGGUAACCUGCCUGUAAGACUGGGAUAACUCCGGGAAACCGGGGCUAAUACCGGAUGGUUGUUUGAACCGCAUGGUUCAAACAUAAAAGGUGGCUUCGGCUACCACUUACAGAUGGACCCGCGGCGCAUUAGCUAGUUGGUGAGGUAACGGCUCACCAAGGCAACGAUGCGUAGCCGACCUGAGAGGGUGAUCGGCCACACUGGGACUGAGACACGGCCCAGACUCCUACGGGAGGCAGCAGUAGGGAAUCUUCCGCAAUGGACGAAAGUCUGACGGAGCAACGCCGCGUGAGUGAUGAAGGUUUUCGGAUCGUAAAGCUCUGUUGUUAGGGAAGAACAAGUACCGUUCGAAUAGGGCGGUACCUUGACGGUACCUAACCAGAAAGCCACGGCUAACUACGUGCCAGCAGCCGCGGUAAUACGUAGGUGGCAAGCGUUGUCCGGAAUUAUUGGGCGUAAAGGGCUCGCAGGCGGUUUCUUAAGUCUGAUGUGAAAGCCCCCGGCUCAACCGGGGAGGGUCAUUGGAAACUGGGGAACUUGAGUGCAGAAGAGGAGAGUGGAAUUC
This 601-nucleotide ribosomal RNA is filed under the name Bacillus tequilensis. Its description in RNAcentral is "bacterial SSU rRNA". It matches the Rfam family "Bacterial small subunit ribosomal RNA", at positions 83 to 669 of the family's 1533-position model. The record is from RNAcentral. Lineage: Bacteria; Bacillati; Bacillota; Bacilli; Caryophanales; Bacillaceae.